GGAUGAAGGAAGGAAGCGUGGUGGUCUUGUUGGAAAGAGUGAUGGGAGAAAUGCCAAUGCCUCGAAAGGACCGAACACUUGCUCAAAGGAGAGGCUUUGAUCAAAGAGGUUAAGCAAGAAGCUGAAGAUGGAUCCUCUCUGCAGAGGACAAGAGAAGACAGCAUUCCCAGUCAGACAUCGUGGAAAGGGGAGAGAGUUCUGCUGACAACCCCAAAGAAUAUAUAUGUCCUUCCUUCGGGUCUGUGUUGGU
This is a long non-coding RNA of Balaenoptera ricei (Rice's whale), 250 nucleotides long. RefSeq lists it as uncharacterized. The transcript is spliced from 3 exons. The record is from RefSeq and is a predicted model, not a curated record. Lineage: Eukaryota; Metazoa; Chordata; Mammalia; Artiodactyla; Balaenopteridae.